GACGAACGCUGGCGGCGUGCCUAGUACAUGCAAGUAGGACGCAGUUGCGAACGGAUGAGUAACGCGUAGGUAACUGCCUCUUAGAGGGGGAUAACUAUUGGAAACGCUAGCUAAUACCGCAUACUAGUAGAUGGACCUGCGUUGUAUUAGCUAGUCGGUGGGGUAAUGGCCUACCUAGGCGACGAUACAUAGCCGAGCUGAAAGGGUGAUUGGUCAAACAGGGACCGAGACCCGGCCCAGACUUCUACGGGAGGCAGCAGUAGGGAAUCUUCGGCAAUGGGGGAAAACUUUAUCGAGCAACGCCGCGGGAGUGAAGAAGGUUUUCGGAUCGUAAAGCUCUGUGGUUAAGGAAGCGGUACUUAACCAGAAAGGGCCGGCUAACUACGUGCCAGCAGCCGCGGUAAUUC
Molecule: ribosomal RNA, 407 nt
Filed under: uncultured bacterium
Lineage: Bacteria
Description: partial 16S ribosomal RNA
Rfam family: Bacterial small subunit ribosomal RNA
Source: RNAcentral